AACAGCCAAAACUUUCAACAACGGAUCUCUUGGCUCUGGCAUCGAUGAAGAACGCAGCGAAAUGCGAUACGUAAUGCGAAUUGCAGAAUUCAGCGAGUCAUCGAAUCUUUGAACGCACAUUGCGCCCGCCAGCAUUCUGGCGGGCAUGCCUGUCCGAGCGUCAUUUCCCCCCUCAGCACGCCCUUCUUGCAAGGGAGCGCUGGCGUUGGGGCUCCUCCGCCCUCUGUGGCG
This 231-nucleotide ribosomal RNA is filed under the name Ophiostoma floccosum. RNAcentral's name for it is "5.8S ribosomal RNA". The stretch from base 10 to 163 matches the Rfam family "5.8S ribosomal RNA". Rfam says of the family: 5.8S ribosomal RNA (5.8S rRNA) is a component of the large subunit of the eukaryotic ribosome. It is transcribed by RNA polymerase I as part of the 45S precursor that also contains 18S and 28S rRNA. The record is from RNAcentral. Lineage: Eukaryota; Fungi; Ascomycota; Sordariomycetes; Ophiostomatales; Ophiostomataceae.